AGGGAAGCGAGCCCGCGAGGGGGAGCGAAUCCCAAAAAUAACGUCCCAGUUCGGAUUGUAGUCUGCAACCCGACUACAUGAAGCUGGAAUCGCUAGUAAUCGCGGAUCAGAAUGCCGCGGUGAAUACGUUCCCGGGUCUUGUACACACCGCCCGUCACACCAUGGGAGUCGGAAAUGCCCGAAGUCGGUAGUCUAACCGCAAGGAGGACGCCGCCGAAGGUGGGGUUGAUGAUUAGGGUUAAGUCGUAACAAGGUAUC
RNAcentral lists this ribosomal RNA (258 nucleotides) under uncultured bacterium. RNAcentral describes it as "partial 16S ribosomal RNA". It matches the Rfam family "Bacterial small subunit ribosomal RNA", at positions 1243 to 1500 of the family's 1533-position model. The record is from RNAcentral.